CAAUCUCGGGUAAGUUAAUCACUUUCUGGGGGAUACGCGUAAUGACCAUUCAAGCUGAUUGUGACAUUACGUAGGGUAGGUAUCAGCUAAGCCUUUAGUUGAUAGACGGGAUACUUAUGGUGCAGUGUCGCCAUGUUAAUGGGAAACCCAACA
Molecule: non-coding RNA, 153 nt
Filed under: Vibrio gallaecicus
Lineage: Bacteria; Pseudomonadati; Pseudomonadota; Gammaproteobacteria; Vibrionales; Vibrionaceae
Description: DABA-DC-AT RNA
Rfam family: DABA-DC-AT RNA
Source: RNAcentral